Molecule: small nuclear RNA, 121 nt
Filed under: Panthera tigris altaica (Amur tiger)
Lineage: Eukaryota; Metazoa; Chordata; Mammalia; Carnivora; Felidae
Description: U4 spliceosomal RNA (ENSPTIG00000001352.1)
Source: RNAcentral
AGCUUUGCACAGUGGCAGUAUCAUAGCCAAUGAAGUUUAUCAGAAGUGCAAUUACUGCUAAUUGAAAAAAAAGACCCAUAGAAGAGAUGCUCCCUUUUCAGUGACCUCUAUAGCAGUGGGG